Molecule: long non-coding RNA, 10710 nt
Filed under: Gallus gallus (chicken)
Lineage: Eukaryota; Metazoa; Chordata; Aves; Galliformes; Phasianidae
Description: lncRNA (ENSGALG00010026219.1)
Source: RNAcentral
CCCCUGCCGGCGGCCCCGGGACCCCGCCGGCACCUUCCCGCGGGGCUGCGGGGAGAAGGGGGGGUGGGAGGGGGGGGUGGAGAGGGAAAGGGGGAGUGGUGGGACCGCAGCUCUCCGCCGAGCAUCCCUCUGGCUGGAGCUGGAUUUUAAAACAAUAAAAUCCACCGCUGCUAUCUCGCUCGCUCCCCCCCCCCCCCCCCCCCCCCCAUCCCGUUCCCCUCCCCGCCACACUGCAGCCCGCAGCCGCCCGUGGAAAUCGCACGCCCCGCGUCUGCGUGGAGGCAGGCGGACCGCCCGGCUCCUGCCCGCCGUGACUUUAGAGCUGACGAUCUCCUCUCCUCGACCCCCACCCCUCCACACCCACCCCCUGCUCGAUGGCAGAGCCGCUGCCUCUCGCACCAGACUAUAUUUGCAAUAUGUGCUAAUUUACCAGCUAGAUGCCCUUGGAUUUUAAAAUGAACUCAUCAGUCAACGUUUCUAGGACCGAUGCUGCUCUCUCCUCACACACACCCUCCACUGCAGACAUGUUACUCAUUCUCCAAGCAUUUCCUCCCCGAAUGUCCGUCAGACGUAUAUACACUUCAUUGAUCAAACCAAAUCCCUUGAUAACAAUAAAUAAUAAUACAGACAGUUAACAUCAGCGGGGAGCGGGGCGGGGGGGGGGGGGGAGACAAAGAUGACGACUAAAUCUGCAUUGUGCUCUGCAGGGCUGAUGCCUGCAGGGAUGCAGAACGCAGGUACGCCCCUAAGGACGGGCACAGCCCCGGCCAGAACGCACCACCUGAGACCCCCCCGCACCCCGAGCCACGGGGCGGGGGGCACCGAUCAUACCCAGAACCGGACCCUAUCCAGGCUGCCUGUGUGGGAACCGCAGGGGAGAAAGCACCUAAAGCCGCCACGGAAAUAAAUAAAUAAGGCAGCUCCUUUGUUAGGCUGUGCGCUGCGCAGGUGCUCAGCACUGCAGCGUUAAGGGCAUCCGUGCGGCCAGAGAUCCCGGGGCCGCACAGUGGGAUUUUCAGAAUCAUCUUCGUUCCCACUUACAUCAAUUUCCUUUGUGCCGCAGACAGCGAGCCCCAGUGUGAGACACCAGGUUAGGAGGCCAGGCUAUUCAAUAUCCCUCUGUUCUAUGCCAGGUAUUUCACAGGCUUUGGUUUCGGGGCUCUCGGGGCUUUAUUUCCUAUUUCCCUGGGGCUAAAACGGGGCAGGCAGGACAAGCUGCCUCCUGGGAUUUUGGCUGGCUCGGCGUCUUGUGUGGGUCUGGCAAAGAGAAAGUGACUGCAGUGUAAGUGUUCGGGAAGUUGGGGAGGGUGGGGCUAUCUAGAAAUCUUUGACUCACUGGGGUAACUCCCUGAACGCAGGAAUUAAAUUAUUACUCAAAGCGAGCUACAUUUUACGAGCAGCAGCCCUGGAAUGAGAUUCUGCAUGCACACAGAGUUCGAAACAACUAAAAUAAACAUAUGGAAAUACAUAUACAAUGCAUAAUUCAAUUAUUGGGUGCAAUGCAGAAGUCCCUGAGUGACAGAGGAGGGGGAAUUAUGCAGUAAAGGCAGCCCAGGAAUCCAUGCAUACAAAUUUUCUCAUUUAUACCGACACAACCCCGACUGACACCAGCCUAGAUAGGGGAAGAAUCACUCUAUGUACUGAGGGAUCUAAUCUUUGGGAAAAGCAGAGGAUGAGAGAGACUGUAUCCGCCAGCCAUCCUCUCUCUCCCCUUACAGAUUCCAUCCCCAGCACCAUAGCUGCGUGCAAGAUGUUGCCAUCACAGAGGACCAUUUACAUCCAUUGUCUUUUCUGUGUUCCCCUUUUCCUUCCAACAACAAAAAAAGUUUUUUUUUUUCCUAAGUUUUGCUGCAAACACAUAAUUUCUUUACACAAUUUAACCAAGUCUUUGGAGGAUACUUAUUUCAAGCAGUUAACACCUGACCCCAAUUUUUGUGGGUAAUUAGUGAGCUAGAUAACCACACAAAGUGGGUAAUUAUUUAGUACCCAAGGGUACUGUACAAGAGGGUAGAGGCUGGCAAUGUUAACAAAAGCACAUCUCUAAUUAUUGUAUCUAUACUGGUGAUGUUUUAAGAAUAGUUACUCCAUCUAAUGAUCCAUGAUAAAUCAGUAAACUAUUUUGCUUCCCUUAGCAUAUAUGCCUGGUCUAAUGAAGGGCACAGCAGAGCCAAGCCCCAGCUCUGGACCACGUGCAGACACCAAGAGAACCAAAAGGCGUCCAGCUGGAGGAGUCAAUGCAAUGGGCAGAGCUAGCAGCAUGGCUGGGAGCUCACAGGUUAGUUAAGGACUGGAAAAGCCACACAGGGAGAUGUUUGCAGAGCGUGCCUACCUCUUGCUUAGGCCGUGUGGCCACUCUGGGCAUCUCUGCACACAGCAAGAAUCCCAAUCGUGUUGUAACACAGUUCUGUCUUGCUUAUUGCAAAUGGCACCACAAGUGGGCUGCUCUGCGCCUUGUGGAAGGUCAGGGCUGUAAGGCAAGAGGGUAGCACUGAAAGAAAACCCAACCCCACAGCUAAAUCACGUUUGAUGAAUUCCAAUUAUUUGCCAUCCACGGUAUUUAAAUUUCAAAAAAGCACUUUUCUCCCAUGGAAAAUAUUACAUUCUCAGUAGAUGUUCUUCACAGAUUUAAGAAGGAAGGGAUGGGAACUAUUUUGCAGCGAUGGCUAAAUAAGGAAAAUUCAGCUACCAAAAAAAGAAAAAAAAAUAAGUUUUGAUCAUGAGAACCAAGUGAAAAGAAGAGUUAUGCUGGAAACAGAUUGGUAAUCUUAAGCACAGCGGUCACUACCCACUGACCACUGUCUGCAGCAUUACACACUCUUAAGGACAUCUUCAAGACAUUACGCCCAGCAGCAAGGCACUUUCCUUUUUUAAUUGCUUUUAUGAAUCAUCGCUAACAUCCGGACACUAUUUACUAGAGUCCAGCAACCUUGUUUUUCAAGGACUUAAACUGCAGCACCUAAGGGCCUCCAGGCUGGCACAGAGAAACCGAGGCGUCAUCCUCUUGUGGUCAUAGACAUGCAUUUAACUCUGCUUGGGACCGUGCAAGCCAGGCACUAUAGAAGAAAACACAAAUGGCAGCAUCACCCGGCACUGGGAGUGCCAGGAAUGUGUAAUUUAAACAAAGUUUGAGGGGUUUCCCUAACUCUCCAUACCUCUCUUUAGUUCUUUUAUUCCUUCCCCCCCAGCGAAGUACAACUGAAAAAGGCCUGAAAAUUGGUCUUGCCCUUAAAAAGGGACCAAAUCUCCACAGUCCAUUUGUUUCCGAGCACACCUGUUCAUCUCACCAGUGUGAGCAGGUCAAAAAGGAAAAAAAAAAACCUUGCCAAAAUUGGGGAUCAGUUCAGAGCAGCUGUGCAGCAAACACCUGUCCACUCUGAACCGCACCAGAAGAUUGAAGCUUCUUUCAUGUGUUACAGGCCAUUUAAUAAUCCAGCAACUUACAGUGUUUGGCUGCUACCAUGCUGAGGUGAGUAUAAAUAAAUUGGUAUCCCCUUCACUAAUCCUCUUAGGGACCCAGUUUGCGGGAAGAGUUCUCACAGAAAUGGAGUGAGAGCCAUUUUGCAGAGAGAAGCUGGAAAACAGAAAGGAAGAAUGAAUUUAAUCAUGGACACGGGUUCAAAGCAGACCUUGGUAGGUGCACAGUUGGAGCAGAAAGCAGAGUGCAGACAAACUAUGAUGAUUUUUUUUUCUGAAAUGAAUUGGAAUUAGAGGUUCAAAGGAGAAAACACAUAGGGGAAGGGAGGGUCAGCCAGAGGGGAUGCUUUAGGGACUUAAGCAUUAACUAUAAAACCUUGAGGUGUUUUUGAGACAAGUCAGUAACUUCACUACAGACCAACUUAAAUCUUUUCUUCUGUAGGAGAACAAAUAGAAUUGGUAAUUUUACUGCACCAACACCAUUUUGGAAAUGUUUGUAAAGAUACCAGUCCUGCCUCAGCUACAUGGGCAGCAUACGUGAGGUGAGAUGAGAAGAAUUUUAAGAAACAAUACCACAUCUUCAAGGGAGUAAAAAAUAUUUGCCAAUAUAAAUGAAGAAUUCUAACAGUGAUUGAGGAAAGGUGCAAAUUCAUGGUGUGGGGCAUAUCCGUGGCAAAUAAAGGUUGGGUGAAGUGUCAUGGUUUGGGCAUGACCAGAACAGCCCUCUAACUACCAAGCGAGGAGCUGGACAAUCUAAGGCUUCUAAUUUGAACUGCCCUGUCUUGUACUGCAUUGUCCAAUUCCACACCAAGGCAGUUUUUCACCUCUUCCUACCCUGCUUCCCCAUAUAAAAAACCAUCACAUCAAAGCUUACCACAUCUGCAGAGAGUUCUGAGGUCCUUGGAAGAAAGCUGCUCCGUCCAGAUUACUCAUUAUCCUCAACCCUGUUAGUCGACAAAGAGGAUGCCGUAUGGUUGAUGGUCAUAACACUCCAUUUCAUCCCCAGUAAGUCCUUUUAACCCAACCCACCCAUCAGCUCUCACCUUCAAACCCAAGAAGGUCUAUUCUGACAGUGACUCAGCAUAGAGAGGGGAUGGUUGUAUUUUUUCUACCCGACUCCAAUUCUGCUAACAUGUUUCUAAAAGACUGUUGAGCUCCAAAUCUUUCAACCUCUAUAAGAUAAUGGAGGACAAUUAAAAUAAUACAGUUGUUAUUUUAUGGACAAAGCCACAUUUAUUUAUGGACAAAGCCAUAAAACAAUUUAUCCUAAGGUGAGAAAAGCAAGGAAAAAGCCAGAUGAGGUGGAGUUGUUCACCUCCAGGCAUGAGAGUCCUGGAAUUCUGCAUCAUUCCGUGCCUUAUUUAAAACCAAGUUUGGGAAAAUGGGAAGGGUUCAACAAAAGGUCAGUGGAUGUAACAGAGGGAUUUAAAAGAAAGGUUACAGAGAUUAAUUCAUUCACUAUCAAAGAAAGAGCAUGAGAAGCAGGAAUGCAGUACCUGGAGUUAUGUGUGUUUUGUCCAUGGGGAGUUCACAAUCUGCUUUCAAAUGUGAGCUCUUCUGUACAUACUGGAUUUAACCAAACUCCAAAACUCAAGACGAAACUUGAACUUGUUUGGAUGAAGUCACGCACUAAUGUUUAACAUCCACUCCUGCAUGAUUUGCCAUUUCCAUACCACAUCAAGCACCUGAAAACCCUCGUAUUUCACAUGGCUUCUGGUCUACCAGGAGUUUCGCAUAAGGCUUGAUUCACAUAAAACAUGACCAAAGCUCCAAGAAACUCACUAAAAUUUCAGAUAAAUCUAAUCAUUUUUGAGCUGGUGGUAAUACUCCUUCAGAUCUGAGUUCUCAUACCAAAAGUCUGACAAAUUUUCAGGUAUUUCAGUUACUAGCUGAUGGAGCUUUAUUAGUCUGUUAACCUAUGAUGAACAUUUAAUGCUUUUUAUUUAAAUUUGUUUGAAAUUCAAAUAGAAUCAUUGCAUGAAAGAGGUGAUGUCCCUUAAUUAAUCAACUCUUCUUUUUUUCCCCUCUUUCCCUAAAAGUCGCUAAAAGUAAUACACAGACUGAGACUACUCAAUUAGAAUCUAAAUGACUGAACCCAGAUCCAACGUCAGGAACAGGCACAAAGUUUAGUGACAUUUUGGGAAUCUGACCCAGCAGGAAGAGUAGAAAAUUAGAUUAAAAUUAGAAAUCCAUGAGGCUAAAGCAGAGCUAGAGCGAAUUAUAUUUCAAUAGGCAAAAAGUGUACGGGUCACACUGUACCGAGAUGGAAAGGCUGAGCCUGCCUGCUGCAGUCCAGAGAUCUAUUUCCCUCUCCUCCAUGAACCCGCUGUGGAUCCUCAGUCUGCACCCAUUUUUUCCCUGCAUAAAACUAAAAUAAGUAACGUAUCUAUUUCACAUGAGAAAGAAAUGACACUGAGCCAUAAUUAAUGUUUGUAGAGAUCCCUGAUAGGUUAUAAGGAGCGGAAGAACCUCAGAGCAUAGUCAUCCUACACAUCCCCCAGACCUCCUGUCACAGCCUUUUUCACCAGCAAUGACUUUCUUUUUAAAGAGAGGCUGGAAUUAUUUCAAAGAUAAACAAAAAUUUGUUUUCCAGGUGUUCUUGUACUCCAGCUAUGGCCCACACUUGCCACAAUUUGAAAAAAAAAAUUAAACAAAGGGGCAUAUUUCUCCCAACAAAAAAAAUAUAUAUAUAUAUUUGUCUCAUCUAUUGCUUAAGAGUUAAACCAAAAGGUAGAACACCAAAAUAUUUUUGGUGGUGGUGACAGUGGUGAGAAUUCAUAAGGUCUGUUCCUAUUCCCAGCCCUGUCGUUUGACGUGCUAAUUGGCUUGGGCGAGUUUCUCCAUCUCACUGUGUUCCCUCUCCUGCUUGCCUUAUCUGUUUAGACUGCGGGCUCCUGGGGACAGGGAGCCUCUUCUCAAAGGGCAUCUACAGGAUGCCAAACCAUUUAGAUCCCGCUGUCAGAGAAAUAACAGGCUUGGGAACCUGAACACAGGGGAAGGCUGAAUGCAAGUUCUGUUGCCCUUACCUCUGGUCAAACUAGACACAGAGCUCUUAACGUACCAUAACUUGUUUUCACUGGUGUUGACAAUACUAAAAAUUAGAAGGCCGCAUAUCAGGAGGCACGUGACAGAGAGCACGAAUGUCAGAAUGUGGGGAAGAUGCAGCAAUGUCUGAGGACUUACGUUUGGGCCAGCAGACACCGCUCAGUCUCUGCAUGCCAGAAAUAGCAGCGGGACGCAAGCACAGCAGCCAGUCUCCCCACUCCUGGUGCCAGUCUGUACUUCUGCAUCACUGAACAUUGCAAUGCAGGCUCUGUUACAUCCUAAGUUUAAAUUCAGUUGUUUUUACAACACAGAGACAGUGUAACAUUUGUAUCAGGUAGAAUAUGAGGAAAACAAAUAGAACAAUCUGAAUAUGAGGUUACUUAACCUAUUAUGAUAAUAAAUGACAUUCUUUAAACAGGAUUUUCAAUGUAUAGUAACAUCCUUUUCAAGUUGAUUGUGUUCUUAUCAGAGUAGUAUCUGAUUGUAAAUAUUGUCAGUUUUAAGGAUGUAUAGCUAAUGAAUGUAUAUGUCAGCAUGGCAGCAGUCCAUAUGAAAUCUAUCUUCAUAUAGAUAUACAGUAUGCUCAUUUGCAAUUCCAACAUGACAUACAACAUGGCAGACUGAACAAUUCACAUAUGAUCUGCACCUCUGUCUUUCCUUCUGCGUAAGAAGGACCUCUAUUUAAUAGACAGUGAGUAAAAACAAAGAAAAAUAAGCGACUCAUCAGAGAUCCCAUAGGAAGUCUGGUGCAGAACUUCAGGAUUUGCACCAACGGCUUAAUCAAAGAAAUAAAUCGUUCCACGAUAAUGGUAGAGGCUGUGCACAGUAGCCUUCUCCCCAUGAAUAAUAAAACAAGACAAGCCCCACGAGCUGAGCACAAACAAGAAUCCUUCACACUGGAGAGGACUGUAAAAUUACAAAGCUAAUUCACCUGAUGCCCGAGAGAAAUCUGAACUCCUGUUUCCCAGGAGCCAGGCACGAUAGUGAACACCCACUCCUGGGUGCCUGCAGCUGCAGAGCGCCAACAUUCUGAGCCUAGUGCACAGAGGAACCCUUCCCAAACUAACUUACACUGCGAUGGCUGGUUAGCAACACCUAAGUUUUACAGCCAGAUAGAUUCCAGCUCUGUGCUAGGAGGGGUUGUCCACAUGCAACCAACUGCAGCAGUCAGUCCCACGUCAUUAUUUGAUCACAUUCCUUCUCAAUUACCAUUUUUUUUAACAACGAAGAGACAAUCUAGCAAUGGAAACCCAUUCUUUGAACAACUCCUGCCAUUUUUCUCAGAUGUAAACUACUGCUAUGUAAGCCAUUCCCAAUUAAUAACGGGCCCCCAUGGAAAAGCCACUGCCUGUCUACUGAUUUCAUUUCCUACAUCUUCUCUUGUUAAAAUCACAAUUCAACUCUCCAAAACGCAAGGGCAAAAGAUCCUUUGUUUCAUCUUCACAAGAUGACAGUGUUUUUUCCCUUGCCAUUUUCUUGCAGGAAGAUAUAUUAGCACUACAUUUGCUCCUCCAUGCGGUGGGAUUUCUUAAAUAAAAACGUAUGUUAUAUAUGGAUGGACUUGGAACUGGAGCUGCAUUAGCCUAUUAACUAUCCACAUUUGCUUCAGACUUGGCCAGCCACCUAGAAAACCUGCCAAGACCUUUCUGGCAGCCUUUUCCCAACAGUUCCAGGAAAACAUGGAAUAUUCAAAGAAUUUUAGGGCCUCCCGGCUUCGUUUGUCACCACUCUCCUUGCCCACUUAUUACUAAAUCACAGGCAAAUUGCUCUAAUGCCCUAUUAAAGAUUUAAAAGCGGCCUUCUCCACAGCGGGGUAUACGAGGACAAACCCACGCUCGCACGGCCGCUGUCUGUGCUCAGGCAGGCCGUGAGGCCUCGCAGUGAGGAAGGGGACUGCCUGACCAACUCCAAAGUUCACGACUGAAUUCUCCCAUGUUAGGAGAUGUUAAAGCUCUCUCAGACACCCAGACAAAGGAGAGAUUCGUUUUCUCCUCAGCGUUACGCCGACAAAUUGCCGUUGAGGUUUCGUGUGCCUGCGUCGUACAGGCCGCAAACAAAUGGUGCGUUGCACCAGGACUCACUCACUGCCCCAUGGGCCUCAGGGCACUGCUUGACCAAUGCCACAGGGACAGGCUGGAGCCCCAUUGCCUACAGCUUGCCUCGGAGCCAUCUUAAAGCCUCACAGCAACCAGGUGGCAUGAUUCUACACCAAGAUUCAGAGCAGGAUUCACGUGCACUGCAACUGCAAUCCUCUGCUUUGCAAUCUAAGCCAGGAUCACAGCACAACAGCAAAAAGAAAGGAAUCCUGCUUUCGCGUGCAUGAACUAAGCUAUUCCUUCAGCCCCAUCCACUGAAGAAGGAAGAGACUCCAGGUCUCUAAUUUUGACAUGAAGUUCUGAGUAAUCCUUUAGGAAAUACAGCCACCAGCAUAGGGCCCCUGAUGAUUUAUUGCAGCACUACAGUGAGAGCUCACUGACCGGUGCCAUGUAUCGUAGAACCCUACAAACAGAAGUGAUUCAGCAGCCAAACUGCAUCAUUACCAACACAGCAAGCAGCAGACACUGAUUUUAUUUUUUCCACUAAACCUACACUACUUAAUUUCUGAUUCAGUAACUAUUCUCACAUACAAAUGAAGGGAAACACGUGACUGAAAUAUCUUAGUUCCCUUAAUAAUAAGUUCUCCUUUCACAUUUCAAAAGCCACUGGGAAGGCAAUUUCUAAAAUCAACUCAAACCACAAGAUCUGUAGCAGAUAGCAAUUGUGCCUCGCCUUCUCCCCUUCCCAUUUCCUUCCUGUUCUUCCUCAUUCUUUUUUUUAAGAUCCUGUCUCCAAAUCUAACAACUUCACUUAUGGGAGGAAAUAGAAAGCCAAGGGGAAGCUGUGGCAUUUGUCAGACUACAAACAGCGCUACUGCAAACCACUCUUUGAGCCACAACUGCUAUUCCUCAUCAGACGAGAUGAGAAGCCACUUCAAACACAAGGAAAAAACCGAACUCUUUAAAAUACACCCACAUCAGGGGCAUUAAUCCAGGAAUGGGUUUGACCUUCUGCUUGCAACAAUUAUUUAAACUCACUAAGGCCAAAGAACACAGACUGUUUGCCUACAGCAUUCAGGGACUGAAUGGAGUGACCCCAAACCUCAUACCAAGCUGAGAGCCACAGAUUUCCAGGCAGCAUGAUUCAGAAGAGACAGCUUCACCUGCCUCUGUGUGCUUUACUGUACAUUGGUCACACAAGCCUUCCCCAUCGCACACAGCAGCUGUGAGGGACUGCAGGUGGACCAUGCUGUUGGGAAUAACUGAAUAAAAACUGGGAACGGAGCAGCAAUGGAAGAGAAGGAAAUUAGGACACUUCUGUCUGUUCAUUGUUCAAGCAGGGAGAAACAAGACUGGCAAUUAAAGGAACCGUUCAGGACUAGACACCUUCCUUUUGCUUCCUCCUCUUCUAAUCUACAGCUCAUGAGCUGCUCCUUUACUCAUUGCAAAAGGUCCGUAAUUGUAACACUGCCACAUUCUCCUGGAAAUCUACUUAAAUGGCAUAUGAUAGAAGGGCAUCCGAGGACAUAUGAUGGAAGUCUAAUUAAUUGACAAUACAUUCCUCUCAUCAGGGGGAGAGCUGGAAUGCUGCUUUGUUCGGAAGAAAAAUAUGCACACUGCAUUAUGUUUAUUGUUAACUCCACCGUACCACUGACCAUCCUCCUUCUUCAUUGUUACCUCCUGUUCCUUAGAGCAGAUAGAUUAUUUGAUUUACAUAUCCAUCUGGCACUAAGUUUGAUAGCCACGAGUAUGUGUGUUAGUCCAUAUACUCUUCACUUUUCAACUUUACAAAGUACCCUUAUGCCUGUAUGAAGCAGGUCUACAAUUCUGCCACCGAAAAGGAAAACAGGCUGUUCUUAUUUGGGAAUCAUUAUCAUUAAUAUGUGAUGUUUUUCCUAGAGAAGCACCAAACAGGUAAAGAAUCGACCAUUGCGGAGUGGUGUCCACUAACUGUAUGCUGGGUGUGAGUCAGCACAGUUUGUGGGUUUACAUCAGUUGAAAGUGUGCACUUCCAGCUGCAACAAGAUCUAUGGGGCAGAGAAAUAAAGUAGCCUAAAGCAUAUACACAGCAGCUGUCCUAAAUGAAACUGAUGCGAUGGAGAAGCAAACCACCUUUACAAGAUAUGACCAGAAGCACCAGUCUUUGAAAUGCCUACUUUAAUUGUAAAAGCCUAGGAAAAACACCUUGAAAACCACCAUUUUAGCUAACUGUAAU